AGUGAACGCUGGCGGUAGGCCUAACACAUGCAAGUCGAACGGCAGCACAGUAAGAGCUUGCUCUUACGGGUGGCGAGUGGCGGACGGGUGAGGAAUACAUCGGAAUCUACUUUUUCGUGGGGGAUAACGUAGGGAAACUUACGCUAAUACCGCAUACGACCUACGGGUGAAAGCAUGGGAUCUUCGGACCUUGCGCGAUUGAAUGAGCCGAUGUCGGAUUAGCUAGUUGGCGGGGUAAAGGCCCACCAAGGCGACGAUCCGUAGCUGGUCUGAGAGGAUGAUCGGCCACACUGGAACUGAGCCACGGUCCAGACUCCUACGGGAGGCAGCAGUGGGGAAUAUUGGACAAUGGGCGCAAGCCUGAUCCAGCCAUACCGCGUGGGUGAAGAAGGCCUUCGGGUUGUAAAGCCCUUUUGUUGGGAAAGAAAAGCAGCAGGUUAAUACCACGCUGUUCUGACGGUACCCAAAGAAUAAGCACCGGCUAACUUCGUG
This 492-nucleotide ribosomal RNA is filed under the name uncultured bacterium. RNAcentral's name for it is "partial 16S ribosomal RNA". It matches the Rfam family "Bacterial small subunit ribosomal RNA", at positions 29 to 507 of the family's 1533-position model. The record is from RNAcentral.